UGGGGAAUCUUGGACAAUGGGCGCAAGCCUGAUCCAGCCAUGCCGCGUGAGUGAAGAAGGCCUUCGGGUUGUAAAGCUCUUUUACCAGGGACGAUAAUGACGGUACCUGGAGAAUAAGCCCCGGCAAACUUCGUGCCAGCAGCCGCGGUAAUACGAAGGGGACUAGCGUUGUUCGGAAUCACUGGGCGUAAAGCGCACGUAGGCGGAUUUGUAAGUCAGGGGUGAAAUCCCGGGGCUCAACCUCGGAACUGCCUUUGAUACUGCGGAUCUCGAGUCCGAUAGAGGUGAGUGGAAUUCCUAGUGUAGAGGUGAAAUUCGUAGAUAUUAGGAAGAACACCGGUGGCGAAGGCGGCUCACUGGAUCGGUACUGACGCUGAGGUGCGAAAGCGUGGGGAGCAAACAGGAUUAGAUACCCGGGUAGUCCCUGAGCGGGCUGGCAAGGCGCAU
This 447-nucleotide ribosomal RNA is filed under the name uncultured bacterium. Its description in RNAcentral is "bacterial SSU rRNA". It matches the Rfam family "Bacterial small subunit ribosomal RNA", at positions 355 to 825 of the family's 1533-position model. The record is from RNAcentral.